This is a long non-coding RNA of Xiphophorus maculatus (southern platyfish), 493 nucleotides long. RefSeq lists it as uncharacterized. The transcript has 3 exons. The record is from RefSeq and is a predicted model, not a curated record. Lineage: Eukaryota; Metazoa; Chordata; Actinopteri; Cyprinodontiformes; Poeciliidae.
AUCGAUGCUUGCUGAAGCUCUUGUGAUUGUGAAGGAUCUAUCCAGAGAUGUCCAAUUCAUUAAGAACAAUUUGGCUCAGAGUAACAUUACACCAGGUAGCACACAAGGACCAGCAAACCUUGUACUCCCCUUCCAGCUGCCAAUUGAAAGUGAAGAAGAUUUCAGUAAAGCAGAGUCAUUACUGAUUGAAGAGACAGUGCGUCAAAAGAUGAUUGCUCGACUGGCUCUAGUAGGAGGCACCAAUUCAGCCAACAUGAUAAGAAGAAUGUUGACAACUUGUAUGAGAAAUGCCCUGGCAAGUCAGUUCAACUGGGCUGGGAAGAAACAUAGGCAUUCCCAGAGUAAAAAGCCAUUCAAGGACACAAUCCUGCAAGAGUGCAUAUUAGUUGCUGCUCGUCAAUUCGAACCAGGCCUAACUGAUCAAAAUUACAGCGAAACAGUAAAGAAAUGGUUUCGCUAUGCACCAGACCGGGAGGGAGGCAUUGAAAGGCAA